This 74-nucleotide transfer RNA is filed under the name Micromonosporaceae bacterium. It matches the Rfam family "tRNA". From Rfam's summary of the family: Transfer RNA (tRNA) molecules are approximately 80 nucleotides in length. Their secondary structure includes four short double-helical elements and three loops (D, anti-codon, and T loops). Further hydrogen bonds mediate the characteristic L-shaped molecular structure. tRNAs have two regions of fundamental functional importance: the anti-codon, which is responsible for specific mRNA codon recognition, and the 3' end, to which the tRNAs corresponding amino acid is attached (by aminoacyl-tRNA synthetases). tRNAs cope with the degeneracy of the genetic code in two manners: having more than one tRNA (with a specific anti-codon) for a particular amino acid; and 'wobble' base-pairing, i.e. permitting non-standard base-pairing at the 3rd anti-codon position. The record is from Rfam by way of RNAcentral. Lineage: Bacteria; Bacillati; Actinomycetota; Actinomycetes; Micromonosporales; Micromonosporaceae.
GGCGCCGUAGACUAACUGGCCAGGUCCCCGGACUUUCAAUCCGGAAGGUGCGGGUUCGACCCCCGUCGGCGCUA